RNAcentral lists this ribosomal RNA (292 nucleotides) under uncultured bacterium. RNAcentral describes it as "partial 16S ribosomal RNA". It matches the Rfam family "Bacterial small subunit ribosomal RNA", at positions 505 to 796 of the family's 1533-position model. The record is from RNAcentral.
GUGUCAGCCGCCGCGGUAAUACAGAGGGUGCAAGCGUUGUUCGGAAUUACUGGGCGUAAAGCGCGUGUAGGCGGUCUGGUAAGUCGGUCGUGAAAUCCCUGGGCUUAACCCAGGAACUGCGAUCGAAACUGUUAGACUUGAGUAUCGGAGGGGAUGGCGGAAUUCCUGGUGUAGAGGUGAAAUUCGUAGAUAUCAGGAGGAACACCUGUGGCGAAGGCGGCCAUCUGGAAGAUUACUGACGCUGAGACGCGAAAGCGUGGGGAGCAAACAGGAUUAGAAACCCCAGUAGUCC